CGAGCCCAUUUUCUCUCCGGCCCAAACAACGAACAAAACCAAUAUUAGGCGGGACGGAAAAUUCCCGAAUUUUCGAGCUUUCAGUCUCUACUUGUUCUUACAAUUUCCAGAACCUCACCGUCACCGGCGGUCUAUUUCCCGGCGACCCAACAUCCAACCAUGGCGGAGCAAGACCCUUACGCCAACAUCUUCUCCCAGAAAAACUCCCGUCUAGCUGACGACACGGUAUUCUUCUCCAUAUACCCAGACUUUACCUUAAACCCCACUUCUCCUCCAACCUCCAUAACUUCUCAACUCCAAUCCCUUCACCUCCAAAUCCUCCAAAAUCUCUCCCCUUUCACUUCCAAUUACAUAUGGCAACACGAACCCUUCACCCUCACCCUUUCCCCCGGCCCCACCCCUCCCCAUCUCUCCGGCAAACUCCGGUACGGGGACAACCUCGAAGACGAAUGGUUCGUCGUAUUCCUCCUUUUCGAAACCUCAAAACGCUUCCCUAGUGUGUCAAUUCGUGUUUGGGAUAGUGACGGGGAGUUCUUAUUGAUCGAAACUGCAUUUUAUCUCCCCCGUUGGGUUAACCCUGAUACAGCAAUGAACCGUGUUUUUAUCAGAGGUGGGUUUCUUCAUAUUAUCCCUAAUUCGGUAAUACCCACAACCCCAUCAAUCCACGAGGCGUUAAAUUUGUUAAGGAAUGUGAGUAGUACUAGAGCACCUGAAGGAGUGCAGCGUCAGUUAGAGAAUAGGUUGAAGGAGUAUCCCAAUAGAGCGGAGAAGAAUGUGCACAAGGUUAGGGUUAGGGUUCCCCUGUCAGUUGCAAAAGUGUUAAAGCAUGAGCCUUGUUUGAUUUCGCUUGCGGUGGAAGGAUUUUACGAUAGGGAUAUUGAUACAAUGAAGUUCGCGGCGGAGAUGGAGAGGUUUUUGGGGAAUGGGGGUAGUGGGGAGGAGCUGGUUCGAGUUUUGGUUACGAUGUCUAGGGCAAUGUAUGCACAGUUGGUGCAGCAGACAUUUCAGGCGCCGAAAUGUUAUCCGGCUUUGCCACCCAGGAGUGAUGUGGGUGCUUAUAUGGAAGCUGAGCUGGGAAUGAAGAUUGCUUGUGGAUUUGAGAUGAUUUAUCAGUUGAAAAAGAGGCAGGGCAUGGACGGAAAAGGGAGUACAUGGGAUGCGUUUAGGCUGAGUCUAGAGCGGAGUGGGUACUUCGAAGGGCUGUUACCAGGAUCGAAGGAGUAUAAAAGAUUGAUGAAGAAUGCUGAGGAGUAUUACAAGAAUAGUUCACUGCAUGCAAGAGAAAGUGCUACACUAAGUGCUCCAGUGCGAAGAAUAGAUGAGAUCCUUGCCCUUCCUGAUUCUGCUGAUGACUUUAAGGAUCAGGAGAUACCGCCAUCUGAUGAUGAUUCAUGGCUUUAUGGUGGAGAGGAUGAGCUAAAUUCCGUUCUUCAAGAGAGGCAAAAGGAGAUGGAACUUUACAAUUCAAAAAGGAAACAGAAAUCAAAAGAGCAGGAUGGGCCCAGCAAUCAUUCUGAUAAUUUUGAUCUAAAAGAUAUAUCGAACUCUAUGCAAGCAUUUGUCACAAAAGUGGCCAGUUAUGAAGGUGCAGAGGUUCCAGAGGACAGGAAUGUAAAGGAAGUGGACUUUGAUGUCGAUCACUUUAUGAAAGACCUGGAAUCGUUUAUGAGGGGUCAGGGCAAUGAAGACAUUGGCCGUGAUGUUGAUAUUGAAGAAGGGUCAUCAUCAGAUAUGGAGUUCGAUGAAUCUGAAGAUGAGAGUGAUAUUGCCGAGCCACAUGAUGAUAAUGAUGAGGGAGGUGCUGCUUUCAUGCAUUCGUAUUCGGACACUCUGAAUGAUGAACUGAAAGGCACCACACUAAGUAAUACCUUUGUCCGCGCAAAUGGAGAGUCUGAGUCCAUAAAGAAAGAUGAGGGAACAUCUACUGCUGCAGAAAACAUGGAAGAGGAGGAUUUCAGUCCUGUAGAUGUUGAUUUCAAUCUUGUAAAGAAUUUCCUGGAUUCGUUUUCUUCUCAAGAUGGACUUCCAGGACCUGCUUCUAACUUGCUUGGACUUAUGGGUCUACAGCUACCACCAGAUGCUAGCAAAGGGAAAUAACCAUAUUAUACACAAACUUGUUUCCUCAUUCUUCUUUUCCUUGCCUUUUUCUAAACGGCAAUCUUUACAAUACUAUGUAUUACGUAUGUUUUAACUUCAAACGGAGAAAAAAGGAGGAGGUGGAUUUAUGUGGUAUUUUUCAUUUUUGACCAUCAAAUAAUUUAUAUAUUGAUAAAUUAUGUAAAAAAUAUUAUAAGUUGACGAAAUUUAUCAUGACCAGGAAGUGAAGUAGUAGGUUUUGGUUGUGACUUUUUGACUUAGAACAUCAAAUUUGGAAUAAUGUAUACCUGAUUGUUUAUCAAUCAA
Molecule: unclassified non-coding RNA, 2403 nt
Filed under: Hevea brasiliensis (rubber tree)
Lineage: Eukaryota; Viridiplantae; Streptophyta; Magnoliopsida; Malpighiales; Euphorbiaceae
Source: RNAcentral